UGCAUUUGAACCAGAACAUAUCAUCCAACUCAAGAAAACAGAGAUUAACCAAAUUGCCAAGGUCCUUAGGGAGCUCGAAAAGCCAAAGGCACCUCAAGAGUUUCAGAGUUUGUAGAUUGCACAAGUUGCAUAUUGAGUUGGGAAGUUCUUUGAUUUCUGUCUGAGAGAGGUCAAGGUAGUGCAACAGCUUUAACUCUUCAAUAGAGCUUGGCAAUUCGAGAAGCGUGCUUGAACUCAAAUCCAAGGCACGAAGGUAUUUCAAUGAAUGAAACAACUUAUCAAGGACCUGACAAAAAUUCUUCAAGUGCUCACGAGGCAAUAGGAGUGUGCGCAGCUUCUUGGAAUUAUCAGCUAUCUUCAUG
Molecule: unclassified non-coding RNA, 362 nt
Filed under: Hevea brasiliensis (rubber tree)
Lineage: Eukaryota; Viridiplantae; Streptophyta; Magnoliopsida; Malpighiales; Euphorbiaceae
Source: RNAcentral